CCUACGGGAGGCAGCAGUGAGGAAUAUUGGACAAUGGUCGAAAGACUGAUCCAGCCAUGCCGCGUGCAGGAAGACGGCCCUAUGGGUUGUAAACUGCUUUUGUUUGGGAAGAAACCUUUCUACGUGUAGAAAGCUGACGGUACCAUACGAAUAAGCACCGGCUAACUCCGUGCCAGCAGCCGCGGUAAUACGGAGGGUGCAAGCGUUAUCCGGAUUUAUUGGGUUUAAAGGGUCCGUAGGCGGACUUAUAAGUCAGUGGUGAAAUCCUGCAGCUCAACUGUAGAACUGCCAUUGAUACUGUAAGUCUUGAAUUCGGUUGAAGUGGGCGGAAUAUGGCAUGUAGCGGUGAAAUGCUUAGAUAUGCCAUAGAACACCGAUUGCGUAGGCAGCUCACUAAGCCUGGAUUGACGCUGAGGGACGAAAGCGUGGGUAGCGAACAGGAUUAGAUACCCUGGUAGUCCACGCCGUAAACGAUGAUUACUCGACAUUAGCGAUACACGUUAGUGUCAUAAGACGAAGACAUUAAGUUAAUACCACCGUACGGGGUAGGUACGGUUACGUCGAAGAAGUAGAAACGUUAAAAGUUAAGUAAGUUAGUACGGCGUAGAGACGUAGACCGAACGGACGACGACGAGGGGAGGAGGG
RNAcentral lists this ribosomal RNA (645 nucleotides) under uncultured bacterium. RNAcentral describes it as "bacterial SSU rRNA". The stretch from base 1 to 538 matches the Rfam family "Bacterial small subunit ribosomal RNA", at positions 338 to 873 of the family's 1533-position model. The record is from RNAcentral.